Molecule: ribosomal RNA, 459 nt
Filed under: uncultured bacterium
Lineage: Bacteria
Description: partial 16S ribosomal RNA
Rfam family: Bacterial small subunit ribosomal RNA
Source: RNAcentral
CCUACGGGAGGCAGCAGUGAGGAAUAUUGGUCAAUGGCCGGAAGCCUGAACCAGCCAAGUCGCGUGAAGGACGAAGGUGCUAAGCAUUGUAAACUUCUUUUGUCAAGGGACAAAAUCAGGCUCGAGUGCCUGUCCGAGGGUACUUUAAGAAAAAGCAUCGGCUAACUCCGUGCCAGCAGCCGCGGUAAUACGGAGGAUGCGAGCGUUAUCCGGAGUUAGUGGGUUUAAAGGGUGCGUAGGCGGGCUUUUAAGUCCGCGGUAAAAAUUCGGGGCUCAACCCCGUCCGGCCGUUGAAACUGGGGGCCGUGAGUGGGCGAGAAGAAGGCGGAAUGCGUGGUGUAGCGGUGAAAUGCAUAGAUAUCACGCAGAACCCCGAUUGCGAAGGCAGCCUUCCGGCGCCCUACUGACGCUGAGGCACGAAAGUGCGGGGAUCGAACAGGAUGAGAUACCCGAGUAGUC